AGGGCCCUAUACAAAAAGGCGCAGACUGACCUGGAAAAGCUUGGCCGGCCCGGCCAUUGGAGGUGGGGGGGAGAAAGGAAGACGAAGAAGCGGAGGCGAGGAGGGCUCGCUUACCGUGUUGCCUGCGCCCGGCCGCCGCCGCCGCCCACCAGCACGACGAGCAGGGGCGCCGAAGGCCGCCGCCGCUUCUCAUAGGCGCCCAAAAGCCCCACAAAAAAGUCCCCGCUCGCGAUCGGCGGAAGGACACAGGCGGUCGCUCUGCUUUCUACAUCAUACCUGUGUGAAUUAGGAUUUUAUGCACUAACAUUAAAUGCAAAAAAAGAGAAAGGCUCCAGUGCAUUGAAGAUGAAAUGAGGGUAUGUUUAUCUCGUAUACGUCCUGACGUUGAAAAGGUUGCCAAAAACCAUCAAGCUCAUGUCUCUCAUGACCAUGCUUAAUUUAUUAAAAUAAGUGAUAACAAAACAAUGGAGCAAUUUGAAGAUCUUUUGAAAGGAGGUGUAUUAUUAACUGUGGGCCAUCAAGGACACAAUCUGCAAACCCAUCUACUCAGGAUAUAGAGCUGGCCAACUUUGAAUGAAGCUGCUGCUGUGAGAAAACAUGUUCCAUUACUUGAUAUAACAAAACAACUUGAAGAUCAUGAAAAUACCUGAUAUAUUGUAUUAUAGAAGUUGUAGGGUCAGGUUCACCAAGAGAAGGCUAUUGGGUAGUCUAAAGUGGAAAGCAGAAGAGAGCUUGAGUGAUGGGACUGGAAACAGUGACUAUGUUCCAAAAAGGUUACAUAGAAGAGAGCCAAGAGGGGAAAACUUAUGAACCUGUCAUUGUUUUCUGUGAUGAGAAAUGAAAUAAAAAGUCUAUCAAGGUUGUACAGAUAUCAGCUGUCAGCUCUACACUGCAUCAGCAGUGUCGGGGGGCUGGAAAUUCCUGGGUCUUUGGCAGGGAAGGAAAGUCCUUAGCCAGCAGUCAGGUUGUAAAUCUGCCAGGCCUAUCUGAAGCGUACUUGCCGAGUCAGAAGUCCAGAAGCGAGGUCAGUGGAGGUCCGGGAUCAAUUGCCAAGGAGGUCAGUCAAAGAGAUGCUGCAGGGAAACUAGGUCUACACAAAGCCACGCCUGACGUUGCAGUCAGCAACAAGCUGCAGCCAAGGUGUGCCUUAUAAAGAGCAGGAUGGACAGCAGGUGUGAGCCCUCAGUGUUUGGGCCUUAAGGAGACAGGCCUGCCUCUCUUCUGCCUGACCUUCUGCUGUCUACGUUCUGCAGGUGAGGGGGGAGUAUCCUGUUCACUGUCUGUGUCUGGCUGCAGGGCCUCUGCUGUCCCUGGGGUGCUCUGCAGCUGAGGGGCAGAAGGAGCUGGAUUCUCAGGAGGCUCCUCCGUGUCUCCUGCUGCUCCUGGGUCUGCUGCUGUUACUCCUGAGUUGUCCUCAUCUGAGGAGUCCUCUGACGGGGCCAUGACAACAGCUGACCAAAAAAUACAUGAGUGCUUUUUAAUAUGUUCUUAAACCUUUUUAAAAAUGUUUUUAAUAUUAGAAGAUGUUUUGAAAGCUUUUUUUUAAGAAACAUUUUUAAACAUGUUUUAAUGUGUUAUAAAGUUUGUUUUUAUGAUACUUUAAA
This is a long non-coding RNA of Rhineura floridana, 1604 nucleotides long. RefSeq lists it as uncharacterized. The record is from RefSeq and is a predicted model, not a curated record. Lineage: Eukaryota; Metazoa; Chordata; Lepidosauria; Squamata; Rhineuridae. The transcript is spliced from 3 exons.